CAAAAGAUCCAGCAAAGCAAGACGGGGAGCUCUAGAGACUUCUUCAGCUAGCUGUAAACCAUUUAAUAAACCCAUCCCUCAAAAGCAACAAAGACACCUGUGAAUCGAUGCAAAACAUAAAUGCUUUCUUUAAUUUUCAGCAGGAGCCAUCAUUUCCAUAAAAAAACUUCCAAAUAUCACAAAUCAUCCUGGCUUUUCAACCUUCAUCCCAAAAACUUUCCGACAGUAAAUCCAACGAUUCAGUCCCCCAAAGAAACCUUCCAACUUCGAUCGGCCACCAUAGCUUCCUCCGCUCCAAUCAAAACCAUGCCCAGCAGAUAAGUUGAUUUGUUCUUUUUUUCUGAAUUACUGAUCGCGAGUCACCUUCAAUCUCAUCCUCUCUCAACCCUAGAGAUAACUCAAGAUGGACGCUUGGAGAUACGCCAUCGCUUUCACAGCAAAAGCAGAAGCAUCAAAGUUGAUUCAAACCCACGGAUCAGUCGGCGCGACCCAUCUACCCGUCUGAAGUCGAUUCACUAAACACUCCCUGAAAACAUGCUCCUUCGUUUCUGUCCCAUUUUGGCACCUUUGACAAGUUGCGGACGCCAUCAUUCUUCUAUAAUGUAGAUUACCAAAAGUAGGCAAAAAAUUACAAGAAAACCUCCAGUUUGUAAUUUUAAUUUUUGGAGGUAGAUCUAGGCUCCACAAUCUUUUGUAAAAUUGUUUGUAGUCUGUUUGCAUUUGAUUCUACUCAUCCUGUAAAAGUAAUUUGUGCCCACUACAAACCGUGUAUUCCCCCGUUGGCUCUCCUCGCUAGAUAAUAUAGUCUUCCUGCUGGUUCGUGGAUAAAGGAAUGCAUAAAAUUUGCUCCGCAUCCUUCUCCAGGAAGGUACCUAUGCAUCUCCCCAGAUGGAAACCUUCUUCCCAUCGCCAAUCCUCCAACCCAAUCCCUUUAAAAUGAGUCCUUUUGCAGACCACAGACUCUGCCGGGUAAGAGAAGGUAAAUUUCCUAAACUGGAGUUUAAGAAAUCUGAGUUUUUAAAGUAUUCGGCCUUCAAAGUACGCGCUAGUAAAGAAUUAGGGUUACGUAACAAAUGGCAACCCUGCUUUGCCAGUAACACAAUAUUAAAAGAAUUCAGAUUUCAGAAACCCAUCCCACCUUCAUCUUUUGAAAUGCAUAACGAUUUCCAGUCACACCAGUGCAAUCCUUUUUUUCCAUGACUUUUUUCCCACAAAAAACCCCCAAUUAUAUUUUCCAUCUCCACACAUAAAGUUUUUGGAAGCAGAAAACAAGACAUUGUAAAGGUAGGAAUUGCUUGUAAAACUGCUUUUAUAAAAACCUCUUUUCUACCUUGAGAAAUAUGUUGUAUACUCCAACUAUUAAUUUUCUACUUCAAACUGUCCUUCAAUGUUUGAAAA
Molecule: long non-coding RNA, 1398 nt
Organism: Gossypium arboreum
Lineage: Eukaryota; Viridiplantae; Streptophyta; Magnoliopsida; Malvales; Malvaceae
Exons: 5
Source: RefSeq, a predicted model, not a curated record